CCGAGUGGCCCAAGUCCGCAAGGACCGGUUACCCGACCUCUUGUCAUUUGCUCUGGGGUCGCCGGCAAGGUUCGGCCCGCACUUCCUCCAUGUGGGGUUGGGCGGGUCGCGCCGAACUGGCGGCCUCAGCUUCGAUAACUUCGGCGGAAGUGGUAGGUUCGACCUGCCCGCCGCCGGCCGUAUUCAACCUGCAAGUAAUUUUGAAGUCUGAUUUGAAUCAUAAUGAAAAGCA
Molecule: unclassified non-coding RNA, 232 nt
Filed under: uncultured Ascomycota
Lineage: Eukaryota; Fungi; Ascomycota
Also listed under: 3 other names
Description: sequence contains ITS1
Source: RNAcentral